This 490-nucleotide ribosomal RNA is filed under the name uncultured bacterium. RNAcentral's name for it is "partial 16S ribosomal RNA". It matches the Rfam family "Bacterial small subunit ribosomal RNA", at positions 30 to 507 of the family's 1533-position model. The record is from RNAcentral.
AUUGAACGCUGGCGGCAGGCCUAACACAUGCAAGUCGAACGGUAACAGGAAGCAGCUUGCUGCUUCGCUGACGAGUGGCGGACGGGUGAGUAAUGUCUGGGAAGCUGCCUGAUGGAGGGGGAUAACUACUGGAAACGGUAGCUAAUACCGCAUAAUGUCGCAAGACCAAAGAGGGGGACCUUCGGGCCUCUUGCCAUCGGAUGUGCCCAGAUGGGAUUAGCUUGUUGGUGGGGUAACGGCUCACCAAGGCGACGAUCCCUAGCUGGUCUGAGAGGAUGACCAGCCCCACUGGAACGGAGACACGGUCCAGAAUCCUACGGGAGGCAGCAGUGGGGAAUAUUGGACAAGGGGCGAAAGCCUGAUGCAGCCAUGCCGCGUGUAUGAAGAAGGCCUUCGGGUUGGAAAGUACUUUCAGCGGGGAGGAAGGGAGUAAAGUUAAUACCUUUGCUCAUUGACGUUACCCGCAGAAGAAGCACCGGCUAACUCCGUG